Molecule: long non-coding RNA, 236 nt
Filed under: Capra hircus (goat)
Lineage: Eukaryota; Metazoa; Chordata; Mammalia; Artiodactyla; Bovidae
Description: lncRNA (ENSCHIG00010009406.1)
Source: RNAcentral
CCUAUGACUCAAAGGAACCAGGAAGCCUGAUAAAACUGGGCAUCUGAUUCUGAGGUCACCGAAGGCUCGUCUCCAGACGGGAACACGGCCUCGCGGUGAACAGGAAUAAUGGGCUAAUGGGAGGAAAAGCCAUGAGAUUCUUGCUGAACAAAAAGGAAAAAGAAAGAGACAAGCUUCCUCUGUCCGCUUGAGAGCUUCUGACCUUCCUCAAGGCUGAAAUCAGAACAUUCCUCUCC